AUCUGCGAGUGCAGGCAAACAGAGGCUGGUUAUUGUAAGGAGAGCUGCUGAGAUGACACAUGUAUGCACUCUCCUACAGCGUGAACUACUCCUCGCUGCAGAGACAUUUGGGAAAACUAUAGUGACAGUCUCCUUUGCACCUCAAUGGCUCACAUGACUCAACUCUGGCUAAUAACAUCUGGGCCUUAGUCAAAUGCCUUUUUAAGGCUUUGCUCCCAACCUCACUGUGUUCCUGCAGACUUUCUACUGUUCCUUGUAACAGCAGAUGCAAAGAAUAUACGGUGAUUUCAAUAUGCUUGGCCCAUGAUGUAGAACUGUUGGCUCCUCUAGCACCGAGUCUGCUUGGAUGAUUCCAUGCUUUCUGCCAUGAUGAUAAUGGACUGAACCCCUGAAACUAACUGUAAGUCAGCUCCAAUUAAAUGUCCUUCUUAAGAGCUGCCUUGCUCAUGGUGUCUCUUCAUAGCAAUGAAACCCUAACUAAGACAGGAUCCAAUGGAGAAUUCUGAAUACUAAGGUGAUUUCAGAACUACUACUCAGAAGGAAGCUGCACAGUGAUCUGCUCUAGACUGUACUAUAAAUGAGAAAGGAAAAUUCAGUAUUCAGUCUUGAAAUUGCCUAGUGGUGAGAUACUCUUCCAAGCAUCUUGUUCUUCUGCUAAAAUAUGGGUCAACUGAAUUAAAACAGAAAAUCCUAGGGGGAGGAAAACAGUAACAAUAAAAUUUGGGAAGUUGCAUGCCUGUAAUCUCAAUAUUCAGAAGGCAGAAGCAGGCAGAUCUGAAUUUGAGGGCAGCCUGGUUUAGAGAAAUACAGAGACUGAGUUUCAGAAUAGUUAGGGCUACACAGAGAAUCCCUGUCUCAAGGGAAAAAAGAGGAGUUAGGUGGUCUGGGGAAGAUUUUUUUAAAAAUAUAUAAUACUUCUGUUUGCUUUGCUCCUUGAAAUGUAAGGUGCUCUAUUCACUUGAUAUACUAUAGAAGGAACAUUUACAAAGGAAUAUUUGUUGUUUAAAGACGUAAGUUCAUCAAUAUCGAUAUCAAGUCACAGUGGUCAUGCCAUUUCACAGAAGACUGAGACUCUUAUCCCCACAGAGAGAACUCUUCUGCAGAGAAGGUGCAAGGACAGACAGAGCAUGCCAUGGUAAGCUGAUCUGUGAACAUUGUCAAAAGGCUUAUCUGGCACAGGCAUCUUUUUUCUUUCUGGAGGGAUGGUGUGAUGGCAUAAAAAUGGAAUAUAUAUUUUAAAGAACAGUUUGUGAGUACACUGCAUGAGGGUGCAGGCAGGGCAAUAGCUAAAGUACUGCCUACAGCAGAGAGAAACAUGCAGGUUUUAAUUUUGAUUUGUAAAGAUACGGUGGCUGCCUGCUUGUGAUUCCUGCACUCAGGAGGACUAGACAGGAGGAUUUAAGGCUUGGGCUACAUAGUAAAACCUCUGUCUAAAUAAAACAAUUCAAAACAAACAAACACACACACAAGGUUAUUUAUUUUUAGAGUCAGUCUUCCUUUUUGUACAUUUAUUGUUUGCUUUCAAUCCUUCCUGGCCACAGUUUCUAUUCCUUCUACCACUCCUAGUGCUUCCUCAACGCCACCCCUCUCCUUUUCCUCAGAUCCACUCCAACAAAACAAAACAAACCACCCCAGGACUCCCAGGGAUAUCCUCUGAACAUGGUGUAACAAGACACAAUACGAUUAGGCACAAACUUUUAUAUCAAGAUUGGGCGAGGCAACCCAGGAGAAAAAGGGAAAUGCAGAGACUGAAAAAAGGCAGGGAAAAGAGCCCCCCAUUCCUACAGUUAGUAGUCUCACUGCUAACAAACAUAACAUAUUCUUUAAGUUUAAAAUUUUAAAUAUUUUUUUGUUAAUUUUAUACAUGAGUACUGUAUUUACAUCGUUUUCAAUCUUUCCACUCCAAUCCCUCUCAUGCCCAUCACUCCAAGUUCAUGACUUCAUUAAUUGCCAUUCUCUCUCUCUCUCUCUCUCUCUCUCUCUCUCUCUCUCUCUCUCUCAUGCGCUACUGAGACCAUUUAUUACUGCUCCUUGUAGGUGUGUUUGGGGCUGACCACUUGUACUGGAUAACCUAUUAGGAGGUUCAUCCCUGAAGAAGGCUACUCAGCAGCCACUGCUUGCUUCAUAUCUAUAGGUGGGCCUUGUGAAACUUCCCUGGUUUGUAUUGGCACAUUUACGGUGUUGCCAUUAUGUAUGUCUUGUUUACAUGACACAUUGAUGAGAUUUCAUGGGUAUAGGAUCUCUAUCACGUUUAGAAGACACUAUCUAGCUGCAGGCAUCCUGGUACUCUGGCUCUUGUAAUCUUUCCAUCACCUUUUCUGCAAUAUCUUCUUUUGUUUUGUUUUCUUUUUGUUUGUUUGUUUGCUUUUUGAGACAUUUUCUGUGUAGUCCUGGCUAUCCUGAAACUCACUCUGUAGACCAGGCUGGCCUCAAAUUCAGAAAUCCACUUGCAUCUGUAUCCUCCAAUUGCUCAGAUUUAAAGGCCUGCACCACCAUUACCAGGUGUCUGUAAUGUCUUAUAAAUGCAUUUUUUUUUUGAGAUAGGGUCUCAUUCAUGUUUUCAAUGUUGACCAAAACUCAUUUCCUUGCAUUUGGUUUCUUACCUGUUGCACUGAGCCCAGGGAUUUGUGCAUGCUAGGCCAGUACUCUAUUGGUCAUUGCCCUAACAGGGGUUUACAAAGUGCCUGUAAUGACUUUGUCAAAGUGGCUGCCUGUGUUUAAACAUGAACAUACAGCUGGAAAAAAAAAUGAGGAGCAAGGAUGCUUAUCACUUCUACACUGCCUCUUUUGUCAUCUUAUUCUGGUUACAGAUGAUGGACAAGAGAGGGUCAACUAUACAGCUGGGUCAAAUCCUGGCAAAGUAGACCAGUGAGAGCUCAGAAACACAACCUCGGGGAGGGUGAAACAGAAUCUAGUUUAAAGCCCAAACACUACAAGAGAAUUACUGCCCCUUUCAAUCUCUUCUAUUAUUUAAAAAUGGCCACUUAAUUUCCAAAUCACUCAUACUGUUUACAGCCUUGUGGAGCUCUGUUCUGAAUAUUUCCACUAGAGUCCUCAUCUGGCCCCCAAGAACUGGUUACACUGAAAGGAUGAAGGGUAGAGGAAAGCUUCUAAUCACUAGUAUUUUAGAACUUCUAAUUUGUGCUAAUAACAGGAAUGUCAAUUUGCAAGUUUCUUAUUUGACUAAUUAAUUAGUUAGUUAAUAUGCAAACACACAUAAAAAUCCUGAAUCAAGCCUAUCACUAAGUUAUGAUUGCUUAUUUUGACACAUUAGAUAAAAUAUUUAUAAAAUUCUUUUUGAAAGAAUUCCAAAAGCUACAGUCAGGCUUUGAGUUAGGUUGUAAGGUUCAUCUUCACUGCAGACCUAGAAAACUAGGAAACAUAGCUCCAACUCUCCAUCUGGGCCUCAGCCUCUUGAUUUAGAGUAUGUAUGGGUUUUACUAAGACUUUUGAAGAAUGAUAUAGUAUAUGAACAACUUAGAAAAAUCACCAGAAAGUAUUAAUAUCAAUUAAGACUAUCAGCAGUAAAGCUCUAACCCCUGCCCCAUCUGAUAAUUUGCAGGUGAGGAGAAAAGAAAGGGAAUCUAACAUUUACUCAGGAUCUAAUAUGUGUCAAGUUCUGUAGUUAGGACAGUUUUAUGUAUUAGAUCCUUCAGCUUAAUCUCUUCACAACAGCCCCUGUGAGAUAGAACUCAAGACUAUUUACAUCAGAGGAAACAAUCUAAAGAUGAUGAAUUCAAAUUGCUCAAAGUCACAAAGCUACUGGAGCUGCAAUUAAAAGACAACUUUUUUUUUUAAACCCUAAGGUUCAUGUUCUGUCUAUUAUAACCAAGAUUACUAAAAAGUUCACAAUACCUAAUUCAGGAUUUUACUUCUGAACUCUCAGUUGGAAAAGUAGCAACUACAACAGACAAAGUGGUUAAUUUCUGUCUCUUUCCUUUACUCUAAUUCCAAAGCAUUCUAUAGUUGGCAGCCCUCUGCUUCAUCCUAGAUAACACCAUAGAUUCCUAUGGCUUUAUUUAUGCACAUUAUUUCAACUGGGCAUUAUUUGCUUCUUUUCCAACUGAAAUCUGAAGUAAAGACUAGUUGAAACUUUAUACUUAAUGGUUUAAAUUAUUUUAGUGACUUACAAGUCAGGCUGGUGAAUCAUUUAACCUUGAUAAGAGCUAGAGGGAAAAGAAAUGGAAAGGCUGGGUGUGGUGGCAGACAGGUGAUGUCCCAGCACUUCGGAGGAAGAAGCAGGAAGAUCACUCCAAGUCUGAAGGUGGUCUGGUCUACCUAGUGAGUUCUAGGACAGAGAGGGCUACAGAGAGUGAGACCCUGUCUCAAACAAAAACAACCAAUAAAACAAAAACAAAAGAAAAAGAAAAAGAAAAAGGAGAGUAGGAAAGGAGACAGGUAAGACCAGAUGCUGGUGGAGGCUCACAGAGCAGCGUUGGAGCAGCUGGAGUAAACACACAGGAAGGAAGUGUGAGGCACAGAAGCAGAGUCUAGACUCGACUGACACUGUAGACUUCUGAUUUAGCCUGGCUGGUAGGAUUAAGCCUUUGCUUUCCUGAGAUAUGAGGAAAGUUUCAGCCAAAACUCAACAGAGAUGACAAGUAAUUUUAUUACCAGCCAGGAUGUGGCCAAAAAUACCUCAAUUAUUUAGUCUUUUUGAAUAUUUCAAGAAAGCAUAAAAAAGCAGGAACAUUUUCUUCUUAAGGCUUCUUAUUUAUGGUUCAAAUCUAACUAACUUUGAUGCUGAGCUAGUGUGUUUCUUGGAAGUUUAGUAAUUUGUAAAGUUUAGCAACCCACGUAUAUAUACACCCACGUAUAUAUAAUGUAACGUCUUACAUUACCACCAUUAUCACCUGACCAUCACACACAGCCGGGGCCCAGUAGAGCAAAGGGAGCCUAGUAAACAGAGGAAGUGCUCUUCCCUGUAGAACAGGGCCUAGAAAACCAAGGCCACAAAUCAGGUUUUACUGGACUAUAGCUUUACCCAUUUGUCUUACUGCUUUCCAGCUACAGUGACAGAGUUGUAGUGAGAGACAGUAAAGUAGACUACAAAGCCAUACGUAGCUAUUUUAAAAAAAAGUUUGUUAACUCCCACUGUAAGAUGUGAUGGGGUGAUAUUUCCAUAUGAAAUUUAUGCUUAUUAAGCCUUAUUUUAGAAAAAAUACCGGUAACUUUGAUCAUAAAACCUUAUAUUAAAUAUACUCCUAGUACUCUGGAUGUUUAUCAUGCACCUUUUUUCAUGUAUUUUGCCUGUAAUCCUUAUAACACCUUUGAGAGUUCCUGUUUUACAGAUGAGAAGAUUGACAGUGUACCCUUCCCUCCUUUCCUCUAGAGCGAGUUCAGCCUGUCCUUGAGUGCGUGGUCUUUUCAUGUCGACUCCAAAUGCAGGGACUGUAGUGUGCACCACUGUGCACCUCCUCAGUCAUACCUGAACUCACGCCACUUGCUGCUCCAAGGAUCUUUUCUCUAGUUUCAAGUUGUCUUCCUAGCCAAUCCUUCUGUUCUAAUAAGAAACACUGUAUGAUUGACUAACCAAAAGAGCAUUUUAAAGGGAAUAAUUCAGGAGAGAAACUGCAACAUUACUAAAAAUCCUCCCAGUGACUAGACUCAAUGUGAUGAAAACGGCCUGUGUUACAGACUGAAUCAGAGUAUCUCUGGACACAGUUUCCAAAUAGCUUGUUUUCUGUAUUAUAGUCUUUAAAUCUAAAUUUGAGUAUAGUGUUGUUUACUUAUAACCCCACAAUUCUGGAGGCAGAGGAUGGAAGAUAAGGAAUUCAAGGUCAUCCUUUACUACAAAGAAUUUUUGACGCAGAUCUGUGUUACAGAAAACUGUCUCAAAAGGGGGGAAACCCCACAACAAACAACCCUAAAUGACAACUGCAAGGAAGAAUGCUAGGUGAUCAUAAGACAUUAGGAAAUGCAAAUCAAACCCACAAUGAAGCCAGGUACAAUGGUACAGAUCUGCAAUUCCAGCUUGUGGGAGGUGAAGGCAGGAAGAUCAGAAGUUCAAGGAUAGCCUGAACUGCAAAGAGAAAUCCAAGUCAGCCCAACCCACAGGAGACUCUCAAACCAGACCAGACCUCAUGUCACACCACACAGUGAAGUGCUAUUCUGCAUUCACUUUUAGAUGAAAUCGAAGGCAAAUGACUUUUUUUUUUUGGUUCUAGGGAUUAUAUACAACACUGAGCACUAUUUUCAGACUGGUGUAAGGAAACUUGAAUCCUCACACACUACUGGUGGGGCUGUGAAAUGGCGUGGACACUUUUGAAAACAAACUGACAAUUUUUCAAAAUGUUAAACCUAGUUACUAUAUGACCUAGAUAUCCAAUCAAUUCUUGUUUUUAUUUUUUUGAGAUUUGGUCUGAGUAUGUUACCUAGCCUCACCCAAAUUUAUGCCUUACACCAUUGUGCUCAGCACAAUUCUAUCUCUAAAGUUGAGAACCACUGCUCUAAGUUAUCAACUGUGUGUGUGUGUAAUUUGAAUACUCAGGAGCAGGAAAAUUAUGAAUUCUUGUAUAGUGUGGUUGUAGAGUAAGUUCCAGACCAGCCAGUCAGGCCUACAGAAUUAGAGGCAGUAAGAUAAAGAGCUAGCUAGCUAGAUAUAGACUGUCUAUACAAAUCUGUAUUUUAAUAUUAUAAAUGUGCUUGUGUUACUAAGUUGUAGAUGUAUUAAAUGCUAUGUUAAAGUAGCUAAUUUUCUUAGCAGUAGUAGUCACAGUAUUCAUUCAUUUCAAAAGCAGAGCAUCUCAGUUAUUUCAAUGAAUGUCUUAAUAAAAUGAUGUGUAUCCACAUAGUGGAAUACUAUUUUAUAAUAAAAUAAAUAAGGUACUGAUCUAUUCUAUAAUAUUAAAAACCAUGAAAACAUUAUGUUAAGUGAAAGAAGCCAGGCACAAGAGAAUACAUUAUAUAUUUCCAUUUCUAUGAAAUAUUUUGAAAAGUCAAGUUUAUGGGACAGAAUGUAGGGAAAUGAACUAAUAGGAAUGAGGCUCAUUUUUUAGUGUGAAUAAAUACAUUAAUGGCUGUGAUAAUGGCAAAACUCCAAGGACACUAACACACACACACACACACACACACACACACACACACACACACACACUCUCCUAACACUGGUCAAUUUCAUGUGGCAUAUAAAGUUAUACCUCAAAAAGGUGUCAAAACAAGAGAAUUGUGAAGGUUCUGUAGCCAGCUCAAUAUCCAGAAUUACAGAUUUUUAUUCUUUUCUAUUUUAAAGGUCAUUAAUGACAUAAAUACACCUUUUCUCAAACAAGGAAGGGGAAUUUAGAACUGGAAUAAGUAUCAAUUGGACUGCCGAGGAGAAGUUCUGAGUGGAAGUGGAUAUGGCCACGUCUACCUUUGACUUUGUUUGACCCUCAGCUGAUAGAAACCUUGGACUUCAGUCUGGGAGAAGCUAAAGCCUCUCACCAGCCUCUGCACUGAAAGGAUCCUGGCAGCUGCAGCACCAGGAAUACCAGAGUCUAGUCCUCAUUUUUUAGCUUGCAGACAUGUCAUCACUCUAUGCUGCACACCAGAGUGUUUACAGUCUAAAUCACAUACAGAGCCACUCUUAUCUCAGACAACCAUGCUGUCUGCAUCAACAUAGGAUAAAACUGUGCUCAUGAAGGAAGUAUGCAGUUUAAAUGUAGGCUGAAGUCACACUUGGUUAAAUAAAACUUCAUAUUCUUUCUCCAUCACUGGGUUGUUUAUUUUACAUUUACCAAUGCAAGCAUCAGUUUCAUCUUUGCAUCUUUUAUCCCAUGAAGAUUUUAUGUUAGAAGACUGAUGGUUAUUUCCUAUCUAACCAAAUGACAAUUAUCUUAGUGUCUACGGAUGUGGUAGACAUUUAUUGUCUUCUUGAACCUAGAUGCUUGUCUGCUGUAUUAGUUGUAUUCUACUUAUAGAAAGUAAGGUAACUAAGGUAAUUUUUGUUAGACAUGAUAGUUAUGAUUCAAAUAAAGGAUUUGUCAAAGUGGGUUUUAUUUCUG
Long non-coding RNA from Mus musculus (house mouse), 7982 nucleotides. RefSeq annotates it as predicted gene, 53650. The transcript has 3 exons. The record is from RefSeq and is a predicted model, not a curated record. NCBI's taxonomy places the organism in Eukaryota, Metazoa, Chordata, Mammalia, Rodentia, Muridae.